RNAcentral lists this long non-coding RNA (509 nucleotides) under Bos taurus (domestic cattle). RNAcentral's name for it is "long non-coding RNA NONBTAT017492". The record is from RNAcentral. Lineage: Eukaryota; Metazoa; Chordata; Mammalia; Artiodactyla; Bovidae.
AAGUAGAUAAAGUUUGUAGAACAAACUGAUACACAAUUAAGUUUAUGAACUUUAAGAGAUUAUGGGUCCUUUAUGUAUUUCAGUCACCUAAUAUGUUUCUACAGGAUAUACAUCUUUAAAAUUACCAAAGUAAGGUAUUUCUUUUCUGAAAUAAGCAAAGUGAAGCUAAAAUAUAAGUUAGAGAUGCCAAAAAGAAGUCUAGGGAGUGAUUUUUUGCUUUGCAAUAUUGCACUGAGUACCCUUGAUUCUUGGUAGUGAUGAAAUUGUCAAAAAUCACUGUGUGAAUUUUCACAAUAUUCAAUGAUAAACUGACUCAAGAUGUUCUUCCACAUCAGUAGUUGUCUGCUGUGUGUUCUACAAGGGAUUUAUAGAAUAAGAGAUCCUGGAAUAAUAAUAGAGUCCUCAUAUUCUUGGAGCUUUCAGUUAAGUGUGAAAGUUAGGUGGAUGACCAGGCCUUGGCAGAGACUUAGGAUUUGGAUUUAUAUAAGAGGUUGGGUCAGGACAUGACU